Molecule: ribosomal RNA, 235 nt
Filed under: uncultured bacterium
Lineage: Bacteria
Description: partial 16S ribosomal RNA
Rfam family: Bacterial small subunit ribosomal RNA
Source: RNAcentral
CACGGGUGAGUAACACGUAUCCAACCUGCCGUCUACUCUUGGCCAGCCUUCUGAAAGGAAGAUUAAUCCAGGAUGGCAUCAUGAGUUCACAUGUCCGCAUGAUUAAAGGUAUUUUCCGGUAGACGAUGGGGAUGCGUUCCAUUAGAUAGUAGGCGGGGUAACGGCCCACCUAGUCAACGAUGGAUAGGGGUUCUGAGAGGAAGGUCCCCCACAUUGGAACUGAGACACGGACCAG